UACAUAGGGUGCGAGCGUUAAUCGGAAUUACUGGGCGUAAAGCGUGCGUAGGCGGUUCUCCAAGUCCGUUGUGAAAGCCCCGGGCUCAACCUGGGAAUGGCAGUGGAAACUAGGGGACUUGAAUCUGGCAGAGGGGGGUGGAAUGCCGCGUGUAGCAGUGAAAUGCGUAGAGAUGCGGCGGAACACCGAUGGCGAAGGCAGCCCCCUGGGCUGAGAUUGACGCUCAGGCACGAAAGCGUGGGGAGCAAACAGG
This 253-nucleotide ribosomal RNA is filed under the name uncultured bacterium. RNAcentral's name for it is "partial 16S ribosomal RNA". It matches the Rfam family "Bacterial small subunit ribosomal RNA", at positions 524 to 776 of the family's 1533-position model. The record is from RNAcentral.